Molecule: ribosomal RNA, 468 nt
Filed under: uncultured bacterium
Lineage: Bacteria
Description: partial 16S ribosomal RNA
Rfam family: Bacterial small subunit ribosomal RNA
Source: RNAcentral
GACGAACGCUGGCGGCGUGCUUAACACAUGCAAGUCGAACGGAAAGGCCCUGCUUUUGUGGGGUGCUCGAGUGGCGAACGGGUGAGUAACACGUGAGUAACCUGCCCUUGACUUUGGGAUAACUUCAGGAAACUGGGGCUAAUACCGGAUAGGAGCUCCUGCUGCAUGGUGGGGGUUGGAAAGUUUCGGCGGUUGGGGAUGGACUCGCGGCUUAUCAGCUUGUUGGUGGGGUAGUGGCUUACCAAGGCUUUGACGGGUAGCCGGCCUGGGAGGGUGACCGGCCACAUUGGGACUGAGGUACGGCCCAGACUCCUACGGGAGGCAGCGGUGGGGAAUAUUGCACAAUGGGCGGAAGCCUGAUGCAGCAGCGCCGCGUGCGGGAUGACGGCCUUCGGGUUGUAAACCGCUUUCGCCUGUGACGAAGCGUGAGUGACGGUAAUGGGUAAAGAAGCACCGGCUAACUACGUG